RNAcentral lists this ribosomal RNA (253 nucleotides) under uncultured bacterium. RNAcentral describes it as "partial 16S ribosomal RNA". It matches the Rfam family "Bacterial small subunit ribosomal RNA", at positions 524 to 776 of the family's 1533-position model. The record is from RNAcentral.
UACGGGGGGGGCAAGCGUUGUUCGGAAUUACUGGGCGUAAAGGGCGCGUAGGCGGCCUUCUAAGUCGGACGUGAAAUCCCUCGGCUUAACCGAGGAACUGCGUCCGAUACUGAAAGGCUUGAAUUCGGGAGAGGGAUGUGGAAUUCCAGGUGUAGCGGUGAAAUGCGUAGAUAUCUGGAGGAACACCGGUGGCGAAGGCGGCAUCCUGGACCGGUAUUGACGCUGAGGCGCGAAAGCUAGGGGAGCGAACAGG